AUUAAUCGAGCUCAAAUCAAAAAUCGAACAUCCUUAGUGAUUAGGUCAUCUCAUAACUUAAUCAGAUCAAACCAAAUUGAAUCCUAUUCAAUUAGAUUUAAUUCAAACUUUAAUACUCUAUCAAAUUAAGUUAAUUAAUAAUCUAAUCACUAAUCAAUUUUUUUAUAAUUCAUCAAUAAUUAGCAAAUUAAUUUAUUACAACUUUUGAACAAGAUUAAUCAUCAAUCGAAUUGAUGAUUAAAUCCUAGAACGAUUCUCAAUCAUUGAUCAGCCAGUAUAUGAUCAGUCAGAAACUUCUUUUGAGUGUAACCCCAUAGGUUCAAACCAA
RNAcentral lists this long non-coding RNA (328 nucleotides) under Elaeis guineensis (African oil palm). Its description in RNAcentral is "long non-coding RNA (EGUI_LNC058843)". The record is from RNAcentral. Lineage: Eukaryota; Viridiplantae; Streptophyta; Magnoliopsida; Arecales; Arecaceae.